GAUCAUGGCUCAGGAUUAACGCUGGCGGCGUGCAUAACACAUUCAAGUCGAACGGAGCGAAGUGCUUCGGUACUUUGCUUAGCGGCGGACGGGUGAGUAACGCGUAGGCAACCUGCCUCUCACAGAGGGAUAGCCAUUGGAAACGAUGAUUAAAACCUCAUAACGCCAGAGAGAGACAUCUCCCUCUGGCCAAAGAUUUAUCGGUGAGAGAUGGCCUCGCGUCUGAUUAGCUAGUUGGUGGGGGUAACGGCCCACCAAGGCGACGAUCAGUAGCCGGUCUGAGAGGAUGAACGGCCACAUUGGGACUGAGAUACGGCCCAGACUCCUACGGGAGGCAGCAGUGGGGAAUAUUGGGCAAUGGGCGCAAGCCUGACCCAGCGACGCCGCGUGAGGGAAGAAGGUCUUCGGAUUGUAAACCUUUGUUGACAGGGACGAAAUUUGACGGUACCUGUCGAGGAAGCCACGGCUAACUACGUG
Molecule: ribosomal RNA, 477 nt
Filed under: uncultured bacterium
Lineage: Bacteria
Description: bacterial SSU rRNA
Rfam family: Bacterial small subunit ribosomal RNA
Source: RNAcentral